CCACCGUGCCGGGGCCAGGCGGGGACGCGCGGCGGCUCCAGAGGCCGCGUCCCCGGCGCCCUGCGCGGCGGGGACGCGGAGGAGCCCCGCGCGGAGGACCGGCGUGUCGGCGGCAGCCUGGCCGCCCGGAGGACACCGAGCCCGGGCAGAGCAGUCCUGCAGGGACCGCGGAGCGGGACGACCGUGUGGACCGGCCUCGGAGGGAGGGUUCUACGGUACCGUCUGCUGAGGUUCUGCACGCAGGGAACACCCUGGGGUUCUAGGUUCUGCUCCUGAACAACGUGAGCAGAACCUUAAUGGACCCAGUUGGGUCAUUUUGCUCCGCGAGAACAGGUGGACCAGAACUCCAUCCGAACAUCUGGAACGUUCUCUGCCCGAUGGUGCAGAACACACAGAACCUUGUUUUCCAUCUAGUCCUCUUCUAAACCUGCUGGUCCAGCUAGAACCUCAGGUUCUGUUUGGUUCUGUCUAUAAUUUGAGGUUCUGUUUAUAACAUGAGGUUCUAUUUGGUUCUGUUUAUAACCUGAGGUUCUGUUUAUAACAUGAGGUUCUUUCUGGUUCUGUUUAUAACAUGAGGUUCUAUUUGGUUCUGUUUAUAACCUGAGGUUCUGUUUGGUUCUGUUUAUAACCUGAGGUUCUGUUUAUAACAUGAGGUUCUUUCUGGUUCUGUUUAUAACCUGAGGUUCUGUUUAUAACAUGAGGUUCUGUUUGGUUCUGUCUAUAAUUUGAGGUUCUGUUUAUAACAUGAGGUUCUUUCUGGUUCUGUUUAUAACAUGAGGUUCUGUUUAUAACAUGAGGUUCUAUUUGGUUCUGUUUAUAACCUGAGGUUCUGUUUAUAACAUGAGGUUCUUUCUGGUUCUGUUUAUAACAUGAGGUUCUGUUUGGUUCUGUUUAUAACCUGCGGUUCUGUUUAUAAGAUGAGGUUCUGUUUAUAACAUGAGGUUCUGUUUGGUUCUGUUUAUAACCUGAGGUUCUGUUUAUAACCUGAGGUUCUUUCUGGUUCUGUUUAUAACCUGAGGUUCUGUUUAUAACAUGAGGUUCUUUCUGGUUCUGUUUAUAACAUGAGGUUCUUUCUGGUUCUGUUUAUAACCUGAGGUUCUGUUUAUAACCUAAGGUUCUGUUUGGUUCUGUCUAUAACUUAAGGUUCUGUUUGGUUCUGUCUAUAACCUGAGUUUCUGCUGUUUAUAACAUGAGGUUCUUUCUGGUUCUGUUUAUAACCUAAGGUUCUGUUUGGUUCUGUCUAUAACCCAAGGUUCUGUUUGGUUCUGUCUAUAACCCGAGGUUCUGUUUGGUUCUGUCUAUAACCCGAGGUUCUUUCUGGUUCUGUUUAUAACCUGAGAUUCUGUUUAUAACCUGAGGUUCUGUUUGGUUCUGUCUAUAACCCGAGGUUCUGUUUGGUUCUGUCUAUAACCCGAGGUUCUGUUUGGUUCUGUCUAUAACCCGAGGUUCUGUUUGGUUCUGACUAUAACAUGAGGUUCUUUCUGGUUCUGUUUAUAACCUGAGAUUCUGUUUAUAACCUGAGGUUCUGUUUGGUUCUGUCUAUAACCUGAGGUUCUGUUUGGUUCUGUUUAUAACAUGAGGUUCUUUCUGGUUCUGUCUAUAACCUAAGGUUCUGUGGGUUCUCACAUGCACAGCUGUGGACCAAUAAAUUCUGGUUCUGUAAUCAA
Long non-coding RNA from Fundulus heteroclitus (mummichog), 1667 nucleotides. RefSeq lists it as uncharacterized. The transcript has 2 exons. Lineage: Eukaryota; Metazoa; Chordata; Actinopteri; Cyprinodontiformes; Fundulidae. The record is from RefSeq and is a predicted model, not a curated record.